Molecule: long non-coding RNA, 761 nt
Filed under: Mus musculus (house mouse)
Lineage: Eukaryota; Metazoa; Chordata; Mammalia; Rodentia; Muridae
Description: long non-coding RNA chr6:17578066-17578827
Source: RNAcentral
GUCACGGCCCCCACAGCCUAAAGAUUAUUAAUGUUUUCAUUUUGCUCAAGUGGGUUGUUACUGACUGUUCAGGUUCAGGAAGAGUAGCUUGUGUCCGGGGUUGUUUUAGUGCAUACCAUGUGUUGAGAAGCUAAGGAAUACUUCAUGGACACUCUUCCAUCCAGAUGACUACACUCAGGGAGCUCCACAGACACGACUCAGUCUGGCACUUCAGAUAAGCUGUGACACAGAAAGGCAUGAGGACAUUGUACCUCAGAGGAAACAACACCCACUGCUGGUUUCCCUCGUCAAACCUGACCUUCUUCUUCAGGACUAUCUUAAUUCCCUAUCUAUCACAAAAAUGGAAAAAAAAAAAAAAAAACUUCAGUCAUAGCCAGUGAAAUAUUUCAGCUGGUGAAUUGAAGGUAAUAAAACAGAGGCUGCCCAAACUGUCCUUUGUUGUAAAUCACAGCAAAGGUCUAGAUUACAUCAGCCAGAGGGUAUUGAUCACAAUGCUGAGAGGUUUAUAACUGCUAUUGACUUGCCAUGUGACCCUGGAGCAGAAAUCUAGGAAAACUGCAAAAGCAUACCUAUGGUAAUGAAAAGUCCAUCAUUAACAGGGCUUUCUGUCCUGUCAUCCAGCUAGAGCUGUGUUGGCUUCAAGGCAAAUACUGAACAAACACUUGAAAUGGAAGGAAUUUCUGCCCUCUCUCUUUCCUUUGCUGGAUGCUCUUAAAAUUAUCCUGCUAUGUGUGUUUUUCUUAUUAUUAAAAAAUGUGGAU